GAUCCAUUAGCUCAUCUGGAUAGAGCCCCCGCCUCCUAAGCGGAAGAGAUGCGUUCGAGUCGCGUAUGGAUCA
This 73-nucleotide transfer RNA is filed under the name Treponema sp. Its description in RNAcentral is "tRNA-Arg". It matches the Rfam family "tRNA". Rfam says of the family: Transfer RNA (tRNA) molecules are approximately 80 nucleotides in length. Their secondary structure includes four short double-helical elements and three loops (D, anti-codon, and T loops). Further hydrogen bonds mediate the characteristic L-shaped molecular structure. tRNAs have two regions of fundamental functional importance: the anti-codon, which is responsible for specific mRNA codon recognition, and the 3' end, to which the tRNAs corresponding amino acid is attached (by aminoacyl-tRNA synthetases). tRNAs cope with the degeneracy of the genetic code in two manners: having more than one tRNA (with a specific anti-codon) for a particular amino acid; and 'wobble' base-pairing, i.e. permitting non-standard base-pairing at the 3rd anti-codon position. The record is from RNAcentral. Lineage: Bacteria; Pseudomonadati; Spirochaetota; Spirochaetia; Treponematales; Treponemataceae.